GGAGAGAUGGCUGAGCGGUUGAAAGCACCGGUCUUGAAAACCGGCAAGGGGCGACCCUUCGUGAGUUCGAAUCUCACUCUCUCCGCCA
Molecule: transfer RNA, 88 nt
Filed under: Alphaproteobacteria bacterium MarineAlpha5_Bin9
Lineage: Bacteria; Pseudomonadati; Pseudomonadota; Alphaproteobacteria
Description: tRNA-Ser
Rfam family: tRNA
About the family: Transfer RNA (tRNA) molecules are approximately 80 nucleotides in length. Their secondary structure includes four short double-helical elements and three loops (D, anti-codon, and T loops).
Source: RNAcentral